This is a transfer RNA of Piromyces finnis, 73 nucleotides long. It matches the Rfam family "tRNA". Rfam says of the family: Transfer RNA (tRNA) molecules are approximately 80 nucleotides in length. NCBI's taxonomy places the organism in Eukaryota, Fungi, Neocallimastigomycota, Neocallimastigomycetes, Neocallimastigales, Neocallimastigaceae. The record is from Rfam.
GCUUGAGUAGUGUAGUGGUUAUCACGCGUCCUUCACACGGACGAGGUCCUGGGUUCAAACCCCAGUUCAAGCA